UACGAAGGGGGCUAGCGUUGCUCGGAAUUACUGGGCGUAAAGGGAGCGUAGGCGGACAGUUUAGUCAGAGGUGAAAGCCCAGGGCUCAACCCUGGAAUUGCCUUUGAUACUGGCUGUCUUGAGUACGGGAGAGGUGUGUGGAACUCCGAGUGUAGAGGUGAAAUUCGUAGAUAUUCGGAAGAACACCAGCGGCGAAGGCGACACACUGGCCCGUUACUGACGCUGAGGCUCGAAAGCGUGGGGAGCAAACAGG
RNAcentral lists this ribosomal RNA (253 nucleotides) under uncultured bacterium. RNAcentral's name for it is "partial 16S ribosomal RNA". It matches the Rfam family "Bacterial small subunit ribosomal RNA", at positions 524 to 776 of the family's 1533-position model. The record is from RNAcentral.